GUGGCAUUGAGGUGGGGGUCAAGCUGCAGGUCUCACCUCCUGUCCAUCAUGGGGUCCUCCCUGGGCUCUGGGUCUCAGAGCAGAUCUGUGGGGUGCAAAAUGCAGAGAGGCCUUGGUGUAUCCUCCUGGUCCUCCCAUCAAGAGCAGAACAAGGCAGGGGUAUUGGUGAGGUCACUCAGCCCUCUCCCCAUUAGAUCCAGGCAACUAGCCCACCAACGCCAGGCCACCUCCUCCUCCCCAGGGUCCCCUCUAAAGCAUGGCCCCAUCCUACCACAUCACCUCUCGGCCAUCUCCUGAAGGUCAACAGCCCUGGGCCUGAGGAGCAGGGAGGUGGGCAGUCAGUUAAGGAAUGGGCAGGGGUCCUGGUGUCCACCAUGGUCCUCAACACCCCACAGGUCAGCCUGGGGAAGUGGACCUCACCUCUGCACCAUUCACCCCAUUAGCUCUCAUGACCCCGUCCUGGCCCCUUUGGACCUGGGUUUGAUGGAGCACCAGUGACAGUUAGCACAGAGGACAGUGCCAGGGAGACCAGCUACCCCAUGUCCACUGAGGGAGUCAGCUUGGUGGCCAUCCUGGAGGACCUGGUGCGUCUGUCACAGCACACCCCUGAGCACCUGUGCUGGUGGCUGUGUGAGGGGACCACAGUGGCCUGCAGCGUGUGCUGGCUCCUGAGUCCCCAGCCCUCAACCCCCAGCCACUCUCUCUAUUCCAAGAGGCACCCCCAGCUCCAGGAGCAGUGGGCACCUCUGUGCAAUCAGGGAGCCAGGAAGGGACGUGGACGUCUAGCCCAGGUCCACCCACACUCCAAGUGCUCUUUGCUGCUGCCCUGGGAAGAGGCGGAGAUUCUGGCCAGAGCAG
Molecule: long non-coding RNA, 858 nt
Filed under: Marmota monax (woodchuck)
Lineage: Eukaryota; Metazoa; Chordata; Mammalia; Rodentia; Sciuridae
Source: RNAcentral